RNAcentral lists this unclassified non-coding RNA (726 nucleotides) under Echinophyllia sp. SA1126. RNAcentral's name for it is "sequence contains ITS1, 5.8S rRNA gene, ITS2". The stretch from base 318 to 471 matches the Rfam family "5.8S ribosomal RNA". The record is from RNAcentral. Lineage: Eukaryota; Metazoa; Cnidaria; Anthozoa; Scleractinia; Lobophylliidae. RNAcentral also lists the same sequence under 3 other names.
UUAGUGAGGCCUUCUGACUGGCGCCGAUACUCUGGCAACAGAGCGCCGGAUGCCGGAAAGUUGGUCAUUUAGAGGAAGUAAAAGUCAUAACAAGGUUUCCGUAGGUGAACCUGCGGAAGGAUCAUUACCGAUACAGUCCAACAACAACUUCCAACAACAACUUUGUUGUUUGCCCUGUGAACCGUACCUGACCGUACCAGGACACAAGGUUGCGGCCGCCUCGCCAGCCCCGGUGUUUUGACAAUAUGCGCUUUUGUGGUCUGAUAUUGUGGCCUGCCCGAUGGCGGCGGCCGACAGUUGGAAAAUGAAAGAGAGACAACUUGUGACGGUGGAUCUCUUGGCUCACGCAUCGAUGAAGAAUGCAGCCAGCUGCGAUAAGUAGUGUGAAUUGCAGAAUUCAGUGAAUCAUCGAAUCUUUGAACGCAAAUGGUGCUCUUGGGUUCUCCCAGGAGCAUGUCUGUCUGAGUGUCAGAUAUCAUCCAUCGCGAGAGCGGGCGCCAGCCUGCGCUUGCGGCAUUGAGACGUCACGGCCCACCCUGCAGCGGCCGUGUCCCUUGAAAGGCAGCGAGACUUGCUGCAGUCUGUUCCCCACAGCCCAGCAGCGGAGGCCAAAAGUGUUGGCGAUCCUCCGCGCGCUGGCGGGGUCCCAGCCGCGCAAGUCGUCCAGGUGAGAGUUCAUUUAUCUCUUGACCUCAGAUCAGGCAAGGCUACCUGCUGAAUUUAAGC